RNAcentral lists this ribosomal RNA (376 nucleotides) under uncultured bacterium. RNAcentral's name for it is "bacterial SSU rRNA". It matches the Rfam family "Bacterial small subunit ribosomal RNA", at positions 427 to 793 of the family's 1533-position model. The record is from RNAcentral.
AAAGCACUUUCAGUAGGGAGGAAGGUAGUGUAGUUAACACCUGCAUUAUUUGACGUUACCUACAGAAGAAGCACCGGCUAACUCCGUGCCAGCAGCCGCGGUAAUACGGAGGGUGCGAGCGUUAAUCGGAAUUACUGGGCGUAAAGCGCAUGCAGGCGGCCUGUUAAGUCAGAUGUGAAAGCCCGGGGCUUAACCUCGGAAUUGCAUUUGAAACUGGCAGGCUAGAGUCUUGUAGAGGGGGGUAGGAAUUUCAGGUGUAGCGGUGAAAUAGCGUAGAGAUCUGAAGGAAUACCAGUGGCGAAGGCGGCCCCCUGGACAAAGACUGACGCUCAGAUGCGAAAGCGUGGGGAGCAAACAGGAUUAGAUACCCUGGUAG